CAAAAGCCUGGUCCUGGCUUUACUGAUCAGCUUUUUCCGUAAUUAUACAUGCAAGUCUCCGCCUCCCUGUGAGAAUGCCCUCGAGCCCCCUGCCGGGCGGAAGGAGCUGGUAUCAGGCACGCACCCCAUGCAGCCCACGACGCCUUGUUUAGCCACACCCCUACGGGAAUUCAGCAGUGAUAGACAUUAAGCAAUAAGUGAAAACUUGACUUAGUUAAAGAAAAUUCAGGGCCGGUAAAUCUCGUGCCAGCCACCGCGGUUAUACGAGAGGCCCAAGUUGGCAAAAACCGGCGUAAAGCGUGGUUAAGAAACUUCACCCCCUAAAGUUGAACCCCUCCUAGGCAGUUAUACGCAUUAGGGGGUGUGAAACCCUUCCACGAAAGUGACUUUAACUUAUUCCGAACCCACGACAGCUAAGAAACAAACUGGGAUUAGAUACCCCACUAUGCCUAGCCGUAAACUUUGACAGAGAAUUCACACCCUCUGUCCGCCCGGGUACUACGAGCAAUAGCUUCAAACCCAAAGGAUUUGGCGGUGCUUCAAAACCCCCUAGAGGAGCCUGUUCUGUAACCGAUAAUCCCCGUUAAACCUCACCACCCCUUGCCAUUUCCGUCUAUAUACCACCGUCGCCAGCUUACCCUUUGAGGGAUAUAUAGUAAGCUAAACUGGUGUAGCCCAGAACGACAGGUCGAGGUGUAGCAUAUGGGGUGGGAAGAAAUGGGCUACAUUCUCUUUAGCAGAGAACUACGGAAGGUGUAAUGAAACUUUCACCCUGAAGGCGGAUUUAGCAGUAAGCAGAAAAUAGAGUGUCCCGCUGAAACAGGCUCUGAAGCGCGUACAUACCGCCCGUCACUCUCCCCAAUUUACCCGACACUCAGUUAAUAACAAAACGGAAUAUAAAUACAGGGGAGGUAAGUCGUAACAUGGUAAGUGUACCGGAAGGUGCACUUGGUUAAAC
This 958-nucleotide non-coding RNA is filed under the name Paraulopus oblongus. RNAcentral describes it as "12S rRNA". It matches the Rfam family "Bacterial small subunit ribosomal RNA". The record is from RNAcentral. Lineage: Eukaryota; Metazoa; Chordata; Actinopteri; Aulopiformes; Paraulopidae.